Molecule: long non-coding RNA, 1340 nt
Organism: Erinaceus europaeus (western European hedgehog)
Lineage: Eukaryota; Metazoa; Chordata; Mammalia; Eulipotyphla; Erinaceidae
Exons: 4
Source: RefSeq, a predicted model, not a curated record
CCCAUCUCUCGGGCGCGCCCCCUUCUCUGCCCCCCCACCCACCCCCCCCCGGGCGUGAGCAGCCCGCGGCGCUCCCCGCCUGCUGUCGCCAUGGAGACGGGGGGGGGUGCAGGCGGGCGGAGUCGGGGGUAGCGUCCCUGGCGGGGACCCCGGGCUCAGCCGGGAGGGGCGAUGCCCUGCAGGCUCUGGGCCUGGGGAGGACGAGAAACGAAUUUUUUGGAAGGAAGAUGACAGAUUUUUUUUUUUUUUUCGGUGAUUCUGAACUGUAGUUAAUGGCAAAUGUUUAGCUCCGAUUUUAUCAACCAUAAACAUAAGUUACUUGCUGACAUGGCCAAAGGCCCCAAAAUAGCUUGAACAGUCAAUAGACUUGGAGAAAGCAAACACCCCACCCACCCCCCUCACCCCUUUCUGUCUGCUUUGCCCAGAACUCGCCAGAACUCGGUUUUUUGGUUUUUCUUUUUUUCGGAAAUGAUCUUUUUUAUGCCUGUGAUUCUCUGAGCAAAAUAGUUUGAAGUAAUCGCAACAAAUACAACAAGAAGCAACCAGGUUCUCAAGGCAUUUCUUUCUUUCUCUCUUUCUUUCUUUCUUUCUUUCUCUCUUUCUUUCUUUCUUUUGCUUCUAGGGUUAUUGCUGGGGCUCCGUGCUGGCACUAAGAAUCUACUUCUCCUGGAGGCCAUUUUUUUUCUUUAAAUCGGAUAGGACAGAGAGAAAUUGAAAGGGGGAGGAGAGAGAGAGACCUGCAGACCUGCUUCACUGCUUGUAAAGCGACCUUCUGCAGGUGGGGAGCCAGGAGCUCAAACCAGGAUCCUUGCGCAGGUUUCUGCUGAAGACAAAGCUUGGGUGUGAGCAGAGUUCUCUGUGGAUGAGGUUUCCUGUGCAGACUUCAGUCUCUCAUUGUUCAGACACCAAGUUACAGAUGCUACCAUGACUCCAUCCCAACUUCUCGGGGCAGAUGACCUCACCAAUGUGUUCUGGACCCUUGAAUCUCCAGAGCUAGCCACCAGGUUCCAGAUGCCAGCAGGAUGCCUACCAGACUUCUCUGGACAGAUGACCCCACCAGUGUGUCCUAGAGCUCGCUUCCCCAGAGACCCACCCUACUAGGGAAAGAGAGAGGCAGACUGGGAGUAUGGACUGACCAGUUAAUGUCCAUGUUCAGCGGGGAAGCAAUUACAGAAGCCACACCUUCCACCUUCUGCAACCCACAAUAACCUUGGGUCCAUACUCCCAGAGGGAUAAAGAAUAGGAAAGCUAUCAGGGGAGGGCAUGUGAUAUAGAGAUCUGGUGGUGGGAAUUGUGUGGAGUUGUACCUCUCCUAUCCUAUGGCUUUGUUAAUGUCUCUU